RNAcentral lists this ribosomal RNA (254 nucleotides) under uncultured bacterium. RNAcentral describes it as "partial 16S ribosomal RNA". It matches the Rfam family "Bacterial small subunit ribosomal RNA", at positions 524 to 776 of the family's 1533-position model. The record is from RNAcentral.
UACGUAGGGUGCGGACGUUAAUCGGAAUUACUGGGCGUAAAGCGUGCGCAGGCGGUUCGUUAAGUUCGUUGUGAAAGCCCCGGGCUCAACCUGGGAACUGCAAUGGAAACUGGCGGGCUUGAGUGCGGCAGAGGGGGGUGGAAUUCCGCGUGUAGCAGUGAAAUGCGUAGAGAUGCGGAGGAACACCGAUGGCGAAGGCAGCCCCCUGGGCCGACACUGACGCCUCAGGCACGAAAGCGUGGGGAGCAAACAGG